This 331-nucleotide unclassified non-coding RNA is filed under the name soil metagenome. RNAcentral describes it as "partial contains 5.8S ribosomal RNA, internal transcribed spacer 2, and large subunit ribosomal RNA". The stretch from base 1 to 120 matches the Rfam family "5.8S ribosomal RNA", at positions 35 to 154 of the family's 154-position model. The record is from RNAcentral.
GAUGAAGAACGUAGCGAAAUGCGAUAAGUAAUGUGAAUUGCAGAAUUCAGUGAAUCAUCGAAUCUUUGAACGCACAUUGCGCCCCCUGGUAUUCCGGGGGGCAUGCCUGUUCGAGCGUCAUUUCACCACUCAAGCCUCGCUUGGUAUUGGGCAUCGCGGUCCGCCGCGUGCCUCAAAUCGACCGGCUGGAUCUUCUGUCCCCUAAGCGUUGUGGAAACUAUUCGCUAAAGGGUGUUCGGGAGGCUACGCCGUAAAACAACCCCAUUUCUAAGGUUGACCUCGGAUCAGGUAGGGAUACCCGCUGAACUUAAGCAUAUCAAUAAGCGGAGGA